CGAACGGGUGAGUAAUGCGUGACCAACCUGCCCCAUGCUCCAGAAUAGCUCUUGGAAACGGGUGGUAAUGCUGGAUGCUCCAACUUGACGCAUGUCUUGUUGGGAAAGUGUUUAGUGGCAUGGGAUGGGGUUGCGUCCUAUCAGCUUGUAGGCGGGGUAAUGGCCCACCUAGGCUUCGACGGGUAGCCGGCCUGAGAGGGCGGACGGCCACAUUGGGACUGAGAUACGGCCCAGACUCCUACGGGAGGCAGCAGCC
This 256-nucleotide ribosomal RNA is filed under the name uncultured Gardnerella sp. RNAcentral describes it as "partial 16S ribosomal RNA". It matches the Rfam family "Bacterial small subunit ribosomal RNA", at positions 99 to 355 of the family's 1533-position model. Lineage: Bacteria; Bacillati; Actinomycetota; Actinomycetes; Bifidobacteriales; Bifidobacteriaceae. The record is from RNAcentral.